This 779-nucleotide ribosomal RNA is filed under the name uncultured Neocallimastigales. Its description in RNAcentral is "partial large subunit ribosomal RNA". It matches the Rfam family "Eukaryotic large subunit ribosomal RNA", at positions 23 to 621 of the family's 3401-position model. Lineage: Eukaryota; Fungi; Neocallimastigomycota; Neocallimastigomycetes; Neocallimastigales. The record is from RNAcentral.
GAGACUCUGUGCGCGUGCAUAUCAAUAAGCGGAGGAAAAGAAACUAACAAGGAUUCCCUUAGUAACGGCGAGUGAAGCGGGAAGAGCUCAAAUUUGAAAUCUUCAAGGUUCUACCUUGACGAAUUGUAGUUUAUAGAAGUGUUUUCUGUUAGUAGAGUGGCAAAAGUUCUUUGGAAUAGGACAUCAUAGAGGGUGAGAAUCCCGUAUUUGGUCAUUCUUUCUAGCUUUGUGAUACACUUUCAACGAGUCGGAUUGUUUGGGAAUGCAGUCCAAAAUGGGUGGUAAAUUUCAUCUAAAGCUAAAUAUUGGCGAGAGACCGAUAGCGAACAAGUACCGUGAGGGAAAGAUGAAAAGAACUUUGAAAAGAGAGUUAAACAGUACGUGAAAUUGUCAAAAGGGAAGCGUUUGACACCAGUGUUGUUUUUCCGAAAAUCAAUUACGAAUGUUUUAUUUUUGAGGAAGUUAUGACUUCAUCGGCUUGCUCUCUUCUUUAUGAAACUUUCUUAAUGCACUUUUCGGUUAACAAGUCAACAUCAAUUUCUUUUGUUGUAAAAGGGUAUGAGGAAGGUGGCUUUCUUUUCGGAGAAAGUGUUUAUAGCCUUGUACCUCUGCAAUCGGAGAGAUUGAGGUCUGCAGCGUAGAUCCUUCGGGGUUAGAUACAUUUGUGCUAAGUUAUAGCUUUUCAUAGACAACUUGUUGACUAUGUUUUAGUCAUUGUAGCUUACUCGCUUACUGCUAAUUUUACCUACGCUUAGGAUGUUGAACUCUAUCACACACAG